Molecule: non-coding RNA, 27 nt
Filed under: Bombyx mori (domestic silkworm)
Lineage: Eukaryota; Metazoa; Arthropoda; Insecta; Lepidoptera; Bombycidae
Source: RNAcentral
UAUCGUAACUGGCCUUGGUGGGGUGGA